UACGGAGGGUGCAAGCGUUAUCCGGAUUUACUGGGUUUAAAGGGUGCGCAGGCGGGUAUGUAAGUCAGUGGUGAAAUCUCUAGGCUUAACCUGGAAAUUGCCGUUGAUACUAUAUAUCUUGAAUGCUGUGGAGGUAAGCGGAAUAUGUCAUGUAGCGGUGAAAUGCUUAGAUAUGACAUAGAACACCUAUUGCGAAGGCAGCUUACUACGCAGAUAUUGACGCUCAUGCACGAAAGCGUGGGGAUCAAACAGG
Molecule: ribosomal RNA, 253 nt
Filed under: uncultured bacterium
Lineage: Bacteria
Description: partial 16S ribosomal RNA
Rfam family: Bacterial small subunit ribosomal RNA
Source: RNAcentral